This 500-nucleotide ribosomal RNA is filed under the name uncultured bacterium. RNAcentral describes it as "partial 16S ribosomal RNA". It matches the Rfam family "Bacterial small subunit ribosomal RNA", at positions 30 to 523 of the family's 1533-position model. The record is from RNAcentral.
AUUGAACGCUGGCGGCAUGCCUUACACAUGCAAGUCGAACGGCAGCACGGGAGCAAUCCUGGUGGCGAGUGGCGAACGGGUGAGUAAUGUAUCGGGACGUGCCUAGUUGUGGGGGAUAACGUAGAGAAAUUUACGCUAAUACCGCAUACGAUCUAUGGAUGAAAGCGGGGGAUCGCAAGACCUCGCGCAGUUAGAGCGGCCGAUAUCAGAUUAGGUUGUUGGUGGGGUAAAAGCUCACCAAGCCGACGAUCUGUAGCUGGUUUGAGAGAACGACCAGCCACACUGGGACUGAGACACGGCCCAGACUCCUACGGGAGGCAGCAGUGGGGAAUUUUGGACAAUGGGGGCAACCCUGAUCCAGCAAUGCCGCGUGCAGGAAGAAGGCCUUCGGGUUGUAAACUGCUUUUGUACGGAACGAAACGGUCCUUUCUAAUACAGAGGGCUAAUGACGGUACCGUAAGAAUAAGCACCGGCUAACUACGUGCCAGCAGCCGCGGUAA